Molecule: small nuclear RNA, 107 nt
Organism: Kogia breviceps (pygmy sperm whale)
Lineage: Eukaryota; Metazoa; Chordata; Mammalia; Artiodactyla; Physeteridae
Source: RefSeq, a predicted model, not a curated record
GUGCUCACUUUGGCAACACAUAUACUAAAAUUGGAACAAGAAUGAGAAGAUUAGCACAGCCCCUGUGCAAGGAUCACAUGCAAAUUUGUGAAGCGUUCUGUAUUUUU